This 854-nucleotide ribosomal RNA is filed under the name uncultured bacterium. Its description in RNAcentral is "bacterial SSU rRNA". It matches the Rfam family "Bacterial small subunit ribosomal RNA", at positions 35 to 889 of the family's 1533-position model. The record is from RNAcentral.
GCUAGCGGCAGGCUUAACACAUGCAAGUCGAGGGGUAACAUUAGUGCUUGCACUAGAUGACGACCGGCGCACGGGUGCGUAACGCGUAUAGAAUCUACCUUUUACAGGGGGAUAGCCUUUAGAAAUGAAGAUUAAUAUCCCAUAGUAUUGCGAAGUGGCAUCCCUUUGUAAUUAAAGAUUUAUCGGUAAAAGAUGACUAUGCGUCCUAUUAGUUAGUUGGUAAGGUAACGGCUUACCAAGACUUCGAUAGGUAGGGGUCCUGAGAGGGAGAUCCCCCACACUGGUACUGAGACACGGACCAGACUCCUACGGGAGGCAGCAGUGAGGAAUAUUGGGCAAUGGAGGUAACUCUGACCCAGCCAUGCCGCGUGCAGGAAGACUGCCCUAUGGGUUGUAAACUGCUUUUAUACAGGAAGAAACACUGCUACGUGUAGCAGCUUGACGGUACUGUAAGAAUAAGGACCGGCUAACUCCGUGCCAGCAGCCGCGGUAAUACGGAGGGUCCGAGCGUUAUCCGGAAUCAUUGGGUUUAAAGGGUCCGCAGGCGGUCAAUUAAGUCAGAGGUGAAAUCCCAUAGCUUAACUAUGGAACUGCCUUUGAUACUGGUUGACUUGAGUCAUAUGGAAGUAGAUAGAAUGUGUAGUGUAGCGGUGAAAUGCAUAGAUAUUACACAGAAUACCGAUUGCGAAGGCAGUCUACUACGUAUGUACUGACGCUCAUGGACGAAAGCGUGGGGAGCGAACAGGAUUAGAUACCCUGGUAGUCCACGCCGUAAACGAUGGACACUAGUUGUUGGGCAUUAGCUCAGUGACUAAGCGAAAGUGAUAAGUGUCCCACCUGGGGAGUACGAUCGC